CUUGUAUUUUCAAGAGUGACGGGCGAUUUGUGCAUGUUUAAUUGCUUUGUCAAUUUAUUUUUUUGUACAAAUUUUAUAUUUAAGUCCUUCUUUGCUUAGCGUCCUAGUUAGGCCUGAUCUUUCUAGGUUGCCUCACAUUUCUUCUUUAAAUUUACUUUUGUCUUGAUUUGUUUUUUUAUCUUCUCCUUAUAUCUUAUAAUUUUACUUUUUUUAGAAUUUUAAAACAAUGAUAUAAAAAGUAAAAUUUAAAGCUAAAUUAAUCGUGGGCUAUCAAUUAUAGAACAUGAGCCCCUAAUAAGAUUACCCACCGCCAUAUUAUUUAGAUUUCUUUUAUUUAAAUACUUCCUUCGCUUAAUUUAUAA
Molecule: ribosomal RNA, 362 nt
Filed under: Tegolophus ulmi
Lineage: Eukaryota; Metazoa; Arthropoda; Arachnida; Trombidiformes; Eriophyidae
Description: partial small subunit ribosomal RNA
Source: RNAcentral